GUGACGAGCAUGACAGAAGCAGAGCAACACAUCACACAGCCCAGCUUCCCCAGGACAUCCAGCUGAAGGAGAUGAGGCCCCCAGGACAUCCAGCUGAAGGAGAUGAGGCCCCCAGGACAUCCAGCUGAAGGAGAUGAGGCCCCCAGGACAUCCAGCUGAAGGAGAUGAGGCCCCCAGGACAUCCAGCUGAAGGAGAUGAGGCCCCCAGGAGAUCCAGCUGAAGGAGAUGAGGCCCCCAGGACAUCCAGCUGAAGGAGAUGAGGCCCCCAGGAGAUCCAGCUGAAGGAGAUGAGGCCCCCAGGACAUCCAGCUGAAGGAGAUGAGGCCCCCAGGAGAUCCAGCUGAAGGAGAUGAGGCCCCCAGGAGAUCCAGCUGAAGGAGAUGAGGCCCCCAGGAGAUCCAGCUGAAAGACAUGAGGCCCCCAGGACAUCCAGCUGAAGAAGAUAUGAGGCCCCUAGGACAUCAGGACAUCCAGCUGAAGGAGAAGUGGCCCCCAGGACAUCCAGCUGAAGGAGAAGUGGCCCCCAGGACAUCCAGCUGAAGGAGAUAUGAGGCCCCAGGACAUCCAGCUGAAGAAGAUAUGAGGCCCCUAGGACAUCAGGACAUCCAGCUGAAGGAGAAGUGGCCCCCAGGACAUCCAGCUGAAGGAGAUAUGAGGCCCCCAGGACAUCAGG
Molecule: long non-coding RNA, 674 nt
Organism: Oncorhynchus tshawytscha (Chinook salmon)
Lineage: Eukaryota; Metazoa; Chordata; Actinopteri; Salmoniformes; Salmonidae
Source: Ensembl